Pelobates cultripes (western spadefoot toad) is the source of this 227-nucleotide non-coding RNA. NCBI's taxonomy places the organism in Eukaryota, Metazoa, Chordata, Amphibia, Anura, Pelobatidae. The record is from the annotation of a GenBank genome assembly.
ACAAACCCAAUUACUACAAUGGCAGCAAGAACUGUGUCACCUAAACACACAAAACCAAUUAACUCCCGCUACAAAGUUGAGGGAUAAAAUUAUGUUCCUCACCAGGCAAAUCCACCAGCAUGCUCUAGAGCGCACGAACUUCUAUCUUAAAAAACUGAAGGCCACAAACUACACUCAAGGAAACAAGGCCAAACUAAAAAUAGCAUACCUCCUUAAACCAAAAUGGG